CCAGGAUAUUGUGGUACAAGACCGAACUCUAAACUAAUAUUAAAAUAACUUUCGAUGAUGUCGAUUCUUCCAUUCCAUCAGUGAUGUACCAGAAACCAAUACCUCGAACGCUUCCUUAAAUUGUACCACAGAGCCAGCGAAUUUAUGGCCCCAACUAUUAAAUGUUCCAGCUCCGGGUGGCCACAGCCCACUUGUGGUUUAUGACGCAGCCUGGUGUUUUAAAAAAGCCGGCCAGAAUGGGACCGCAGUCCCUGGCCGCGUUUGCAAAAGGUUAGUCGUCCGACCAGCUCAGCACAUUAUAAAAAAUUCAAUUAUAAGCUUUUUAUAAUGUCAUGGGUUGCGUUCCACCUGGCUACGAUUUUCAUUUCGGUUUUUCGCUUUCAGUUUACACUUUUUCAUUGGCCGAACUGAACCGUGGUAAAACCGAUCCAUAGAAUAGGGGAAACUGAACUGAUAAGUUGCUCAAACAAAUCGCACAACGAAUACCGGUUACAAACAUUUCAGUCGCCUACUGAAAC
Molecule: long non-coding RNA, 518 nt
Filed under: Drosophila guanche
Lineage: Eukaryota; Metazoa; Arthropoda; Insecta; Diptera; Drosophilidae
Source: RNAcentral